Molecule: long non-coding RNA, 396 nt
Filed under: Lathyrus oleraceus (garden pea)
Lineage: Eukaryota; Viridiplantae; Streptophyta; Magnoliopsida; Fabales; Fabaceae
Description: Pisum sativum (pea) long non-coding RNA (PSAT_LNC034012)
Source: RNAcentral
GUGGUGAAGUGGUUCUUCAAUGGCAAUUGUUGAUUCUUGAGGAUCCAAGCAUCGUCGAGCUAAACGAACCAUUCCACGCAUCUCCUACGCCAAUAUUCUGCACCUGUUUCUGCGAUUUGAGGCUCGAUACGCGAGGAUUACCGCCACUGUCAUCAAGAAGGUUAAAUUCCGAUCGUCACCAUUUUUCAAAUUGUGUUGUGGUUAUGGUAGAGCGUAACUUGUAGAUCAUGCAGAACCUUAGAUAUUGAAUUUCCAUGAUGAAUUGAGCGAGUUAUCGCGAUUUGAAAUUUCGUUGUAAAACCUAUUUUGACUCGAUCUGUAAUAUACAGUAGGAAUUAAACGUUUUCGUCCUCAUAUUGUUGAUCCUCAUUGCGAGACGAUUCCAUCCGUAUAUCG